UACAGAGGGUGCAAACGUUGUUCGGAAUUACUGGGCGUAAAGCGCGUGUAGGCGGCUACGCAAGUCGGAUGUGAAAUCCCGCGGCUCAACCGUGGAAGUGCACUCGAUACUGCGAAGCUAGAGUCCUGGAGAGGAAGGCGGAAUGCUUGGUGUAGAGGUGAAAUUCGUAGAUAUCAAGCGGAACACCAGUGGCGAAGGCGGCCUUCUGGACAGUGACUGACGCUGAGACGCGAAAGCGUGGGGAGCAAACAGG
Molecule: ribosomal RNA, 253 nt
Filed under: uncultured Phaselicystis sp.
Lineage: Bacteria; Pseudomonadati; Myxococcota; Polyangiales; Phaselicystidaceae
Description: partial 16S ribosomal RNA
Rfam family: Bacterial small subunit ribosomal RNA
Source: RNAcentral